Molecule: ribosomal RNA, 427 nt
Filed under: uncultured bacterium
Lineage: Bacteria
Description: partial 16S ribosomal RNA
Rfam family: Bacterial small subunit ribosomal RNA
Source: RNAcentral
UGGGGAAUAUUGGACAAUGGGCGAAAGCCUGAUCCAGCCAUGGCGCGUGUGUGAAGAAGGUCUUCGGAUUGUAAAGCACUUUAAGUUGGGAGGAAGGGCAUUAACCUAAUACGUUAGUGUUUUGACGUUACCGACAGAAUAAGCACCGGCUAACUCUGUGCCAGCAGCCGCGGUAAUACAGAGGGUGCAAGCGUUAAUCGGAAUUACUGGGCGUAAAGCGCGCGUAGGUGGUCUGUUAAGUUGGAUGUGAAAUCCCCGGGCUCAACCUGGGAACUGCAUUCAAAACUGACUGACUAGAGUAUGGUAGAGGGUGGUGGAAUUUCCUGUGUAGCGGUGAAAUGCGUAGAUAUAGGAAGGAACACCAGUGGCGAAGGCGACCACCUGGACUAAUACUGACACUGAGGUGCGAAAGCGUGGGGAGCAAACA